Molecule: unclassified non-coding RNA, 530 nt
Filed under: Hevea brasiliensis (rubber tree)
Lineage: Eukaryota; Viridiplantae; Streptophyta; Magnoliopsida; Malpighiales; Euphorbiaceae
Source: RNAcentral
GGUGACAAGAGAGCACUAUUUCUUCCAUCUCUCAACCAUCCCCAAUCCCAAGGCAACUCAUGGAUGUGUAGAUGCUCCUGCAUUUAUCCCCUUUCCCUCCAUAACAAUAAUUUAAACUUGAACAUAACAUCUCAAAAUACAUUCAAACAUCUAAAAGGAGAGAUCAAGUUCAGACAAGCUAAACAAAUUUUCUACAUAAAGCACAUUAAACAUCCAACUAAUUGUUGGAACUGACUAGAUAUUGUACAAAAAACAUAGGAUUCUCAGCAAUGAACUAAUAAUGCAGUGCUAAAAGAUUUUGAUACAACGAGGAACUAUUUAUGUUGGAACAAGAUAUUGACCUCCUCCUUUCUGACCAUCAAUUAACAUAGUCAACAUUAAUGAGGUAAAAACAGCAAGAAGAGCAAAAGACAGGCCAACAAUCAACCCAUAAGAAUUCUUUCGAUGGCCCUUUCUGUUGGGAAACCUUGGAGUAUCAUCUUUAUUUGCAUUUACCACUUCAGUAGACACUUGCACGUCGCUAUCAACAA